Molecule: ribosomal RNA, 495 nt
Filed under: uncultured bacterium
Lineage: Bacteria
Description: partial 16S ribosomal RNA
Rfam family: Bacterial small subunit ribosomal RNA
Source: RNAcentral
GACGAACGCUGGCGGCGUGCCUAAUACAUGCAAGUAGAACGCUGAAGGAGGAGCUUGCUCUUCUGGAUGAGUUGCGAACGGGUGAGUAACGCGUAGGUAACCUGCCUGGUAGUGGGGGAUAACUAUUGGAAACGAUAGCUAAUACCGCAUAAUAACAGUUGUUGCAUGACAACUGUUUGAAAGGUGCAAUUGCAUCACUACCAGAUGGACCUGCGUUGUAUUAGCUAGUUGGUGGGGUAGCGGCUCACCAAGGCGACGAUACAUAGCCGACCUGAGAGGGUGGUCGGCCACACUGGGACUGAGACACGGCCCAGACUCCUACGGGAGGCAGCAGUAGGGAAUCUUCGGCAAUGGACGAAAGUCUGACCGAGCAACGCCGCGUGAGUGAAGAAGGUUUUCGGAUCGUAAAGCUCUGUUGUAAGAGAAGAACGAGUGUGAGAGUGGAAAGUUCACACUGUGACGGUAUCUUACCAGAAAGGGACGGCUAACUACGUG